UCCGAGUUGACCCCGGCAGUCUCCCGUGAGUCCCCACCACCCCGAAAGGGCGUGCUGGCAACACAGGACAAGGGUUGCGCUCGUUGCGGGACUUAACCCAACAUCUCACGACACGAGCUGACGACAGCCAUGCAGCACCUGUCCUGGUGUCCCGAAGGAGGGCCCCUGUUUCCAGGGGCUUUCACCAGGGUGUCAAGCCCAGGUAAGGUUCUUCGCGUUGCAUCGAAUUAAGCCACAUGCUCCACCGCUUGUGCGGGCCCCCGUCAAUUCCUUUGAGUUUCAUUCUUGCGAACGUACUCCCCAGGUGGUAUGCUUACUGCGUUAACUGCGUCACCGAUCCGCAAGCGGACCAACAACUAGCAUACAUCGUUUACAGCGUGGACUAC
RNAcentral lists this unclassified non-coding RNA (386 nucleotides) under uncultured bacterium. RNAcentral describes it as "contains 16S-23S intergenic spacer region". The record is from RNAcentral.